ACAAAUCAAGCCUCUAAUUAAUAGUUGAUCCUUAAACCUUAAAGAUAAAUUUUGGUACAUAAAUUGAAAGGUGGUAUACUUAAAUGUAAUAAAUACUAACCUUAAACAUGAGUGGUUAUAAGAUUUGCAUAUGGGAUGUAUAUUUAAAAAUCCCAAAAUUAUUACCAUCAAAGCCUCUAAGGGAUUUAAGCACUUCUUCUUUACACCCUUGACAACGAAUAUAAACACUCAAUAUGAUAAUAACUCCUUUUGAAUUAUUCUUAUUUUCUUCAUUUGUGCUCUUCUUCUCUUCCAUUUUAUUGCCAUUGUUGCAUUCUUUGUUGUUUUCUUGUUGAUUCAUUU
Molecule: long non-coding RNA, 342 nt
Filed under: Nicotiana benthamiana
Lineage: Eukaryota; Viridiplantae; Streptophyta; Magnoliopsida; Solanales; Solanaceae
Description: long non-coding RNA (NBEN_LNC023021)
Source: RNAcentral